This 423-nucleotide ribosomal RNA is filed under the name uncultured bacterium. Its description in RNAcentral is "bacterial SSU rRNA". It matches the Rfam family "Bacterial small subunit ribosomal RNA", at positions 207 to 622 of the family's 1533-position model. The record is from RNAcentral.
AAGACCUUGCGCUUUUGGAGCGGCCGAUGCCUGAUUAGCUAGUUGGUGGGGUAAUGGCCUACCAAAGCUUCGAUCAGUAGCUGGUCUGAGAGGACGGCCAGCCACACUGGGACUGAGACACGGCCCAGACUCCUACGGGAGGCAGCAGUGGGGAAUUUUGGACAAUGGGCGCAAGCCUGAUCCAGCCAUGCCGCGUGAGUGAAGAAGGCCUUCGGGUUGUAAAGCUCUUUCAGCCGGGAAGAAAAGGUUGCGAUUAAUAAUCGCAAUUUAUGACGGUACCGGAAGAAGAAGCACCGGCUAACUACGUGCCAGCAGCCGCGGUAAUACGUAGGGUGCGAGCGUUAAUCGGAAUUACUGGGCGUAAAGGGUGCGCAGGCGGUUUUGUAAGUCAGAUGUGAAAUCCCCGGGCUUAACUUGGGAACU